This 360-nucleotide ribosomal RNA is filed under the name uncultured fungus. RNAcentral describes it as "LSU rRNA". It matches the Rfam family "Eukaryotic large subunit ribosomal RNA", at positions 320 to 667 of the family's 3401-position model. Lineage: Eukaryota; Fungi. The record is from RNAcentral.
AUAUUGGCUAGAGACCGAUAGCGAACAAGUACCGUGAGGGAAAGAUGAAAAGCACUUUGGAAAGAGAGUUAAACAGUACGUGAAAUUGUUGAAAGGGAAACGCUUGAAGUCAGUCGCGUUGGCCGAGACUCAGCCUGGCUUGCCUGGUGUACUUCUCGGUCGACGGGUCAGCAUCAGUUUUGACCGUCGGAUAAAGGUUGGAGGAAUGUGGCAUCUCUCGGGAUGUGUUAUAGCCUCUGAUUCGCAUACGGCGAUUGGGACUGAGGAACUCAGCACGCCUUUACGGUCGGGGUUCGCCCACGCAACGUGCUUAGGAUGCUGGCAUAAUGGCUUUAAGCGACCCGUCUUGAAACACGGACC